CCUACGGGUGGCUGCAGUAGGGAAUAUUCCACAAUGAGCGAAAGCUUGAUGGAGCGACACAGCGUGCACGAUGAAGGUCUUCGGAUUGUAAAGCGCUGUUAUAAGGGAAGAACAUUUGCAAUAGGAAAUGAUUGCAGACUGACGGUACCUGGACAGAAAGCGAUGGCUAACUAGGUGCCAGCAGCCGCGGUAAUACAUAGGUCGCAAGCGUUAUCCGGAAUUAUUGGGCGUAAAGCGUUCGUAGGCUGUUUGUAAAGUCAGGGGUAAAAUCCCGGGGCUCAACCCCGGAUCGCCUUUGAUACUGGCAAACUAGAGUUAGUGAGAGGUAAGCGGAAUUCCAGGUGGAGCGGUGAAAUGCGUAGAUAUCUGGAAGAACAUCAAAGGCGAAGGCAACUUACUGGCACUAAACUGACGCUGAGGGACGAAAGCGUGGGUAGCAAACAGGAUUAGAUACCCUUGUAGUC
Molecule: ribosomal RNA, 464 nt
Filed under: uncultured bacterium
Lineage: Bacteria
Description: partial 16S ribosomal RNA
Rfam family: Bacterial small subunit ribosomal RNA
Source: RNAcentral